RNAcentral lists this ribosomal RNA (323 nucleotides) under uncultured Bacillota bacterium. RNAcentral's name for it is "bacterial SSU rRNA". It matches the Rfam family "Bacterial small subunit ribosomal RNA", at positions 28 to 351 of the family's 1533-position model. Lineage: Bacteria; Bacillati; Bacillota. The record is from RNAcentral.
GACGAACGCUGGCGGCGUGCUUAACACAUGCAAGUCGAGCGGAGAAUAUAGCAAUAUAUUCUUAGCGGCGGACGGGUGAGUAACGCGUGGGUAACCUGCCUUUUACAGGGGGAUAACACUGGGAAACUAGUGCUAAUACCGCAUAACAUAGCGAAAUGGCAUCAUUUUGUUAUCAAAGGAGUAAUCCGGUAAAAAGAUGGACCCGCGUCCGAUUAGCUAGUUGGUGAGGUAAAGGCCCACCAAGGCGACGAUCGGUAGCCGAACUGAGAGGUUGAUCGGCCACAUUGGGACUGAGACACGGCCCAGACUCCUACGGGAGGCAG